UUUUAAAGUGAAUUUAAUUCAGCAUUGUCAACUACAUAACGCUUUUUGUCAACUACAUAACGAUUCACUGCGUUAUGUAGUUGACCGUUAUGUAGUUGACCUAUUUGUGGUUUUUGGAUGUUUUUCUUGACCCUAAUACUACCAGAUAAAUGGUUUUUAUUGAAUUAGAGUCAGUAUUAUAGACUUUGAAUGAUUUAUGUAAAAAAAAAAUAUUUAUGCCAAAAUUUAUCAAUGUUUUUGCCGUUACAAAGUUGACAUAGAAUAAAAUUACGGAGUAAUUUGUACUCACCAAAACUAAUCUAUAAUGAAAUGAAUCAAUGAUGUCAUCCUGUAACUUUAAGCACGUCAUCAGAGGAUGAAGAGUAAGUAGAGAACACUUCCUUAGUUACAAGGGAUAUAAUCAGUUGUUUAUUGGCAACAUUAUUUCAUUUGUGUUAUGUAGUUGACAUUUUUUUAAGUACGAAAUGAAAAGUAAAAAAAAAAAAUGCUAAUAAAAUCUAAUAAUUCCCUGUAUUUGUGUAUACAUACCUGCAGUGAUACCUAUAUAUUUAUAAUAACAAAAGAAAAAUAAUAAUUUCCGCUGGGUAUUAAAACCAGCAUUUAAAAAAGACUAGUUUUUCAAUUUCGUACAAGCAAUUUUGGGGUUUUUGGACCCUUUGAAACCCACUGGAAGCAAUUUCUGUAGCUAAAUUUCAUAUUGAAUUUGCUGGAACUUGUUACACACACCAAAAACUAAAUGGUGUAUCUAAAAAUUGGAUAAAAAUAUUUACACUUUUUUAGAAAUAUUGAUUGUACAAGAAAAUCCACAUUUUUUUGAAAAGGCCACA
This 827-nucleotide long non-coding RNA is filed under the name Mytilus galloprovincialis (Mediterranean mussel). Lineage: Eukaryota; Metazoa; Mollusca; Bivalvia; Mytilida; Mytilidae. The record is from RNAcentral.